CCUACGGGAGGCAGCAGUGAGGAAUAUUGGUCAAUGGACGAGAGUCUGAACCAGCCAAGUAGCGUGAAGGAUGACUGCCCUAUGGGUUGUAAACUUCUUUUAUAAAGGAAUAAAACGAGGCACGUGUGCCUUUUUGCAUGUACUUUAUGAAUAAGGAUCGGCUAACUCCGUACAAGCAGCAGCGGUAAUACGGAGGAUCCGAGCGUUAACCGGAUUAAUUGGGUUUAAAGGAAGCGUAGAUGGGUUGUUAAGUCAGUUGUGAAAGUUUGCGGCUCAACCGUAUAAUUGCAAUUGAUACUGGCAGUCUUGAGUACAGUUGAGGUAGGCGGAAUUCGUGGUGUAGCGGUGAAAUGCUUAGAUAUCACGAAGAACCCCGAUUGCGAAGGCAGCUUACUAAACUGUGACUGACAUUGAUGCUCGAAAGUGUGGGUAUCAAACAGGAUUAGAUACCCUGGUAGUC
RNAcentral lists this ribosomal RNA (460 nucleotides) under uncultured bacterium. Its description in RNAcentral is "partial 16S ribosomal RNA". It matches the Rfam family "Bacterial small subunit ribosomal RNA", at positions 338 to 795 of the family's 1533-position model. The record is from RNAcentral.